Long non-coding RNA from Melanotaenia boesemani (Boeseman's rainbowfish), 121 nucleotides. RefSeq lists it as uncharacterized. Lineage: Eukaryota; Metazoa; Chordata; Actinopteri; Atheriniformes; Melanotaeniidae. The transcript is spliced from 3 exons. The record is from RefSeq and is a predicted model, not a curated record.
AUUUCAGCUGCAACAUUUAAAUGGUAGGGUAAGAAUUUGGUGUAAACAUCAUGAAACAUGGCUCCAUCCUGCCUUGUAUCUAUGGUUCAGGCUGCUGGUGGUGCUAAUAAUAUGGGACUAU